RNAcentral lists this transfer RNA (71 nucleotides) under Calothrix sp. FACHB-1219. RNAcentral describes it as "tRNA-His". It matches the Rfam family "tRNA". Rfam says of the family: Transfer RNA (tRNA) molecules are approximately 80 nucleotides in length. Their secondary structure includes four short double-helical elements and three loops (D, anti-codon, and T loops). Further hydrogen bonds mediate the characteristic L-shaped molecular structure. tRNAs have two regions of fundamental functional importance: the anti-codon, which is responsible for specific mRNA codon recognition, and the 3' end, to which the tRNAs corresponding amino acid is attached (by aminoacyl-tRNA synthetases). tRNAs cope with the degeneracy of the genetic code in two manners: having more than one tRNA (with a specific anti-codon) for a particular amino acid; and 'wobble' base-pairing, i.e. permitting non-standard base-pairing at the 3rd anti-codon position. The record is from RNAcentral. Lineage: Bacteria; Bacillati; Cyanobacteriota; Cyanophyceae; Nostocales; Calotrichaceae. RNAcentral also lists the same sequence under 1 other name.
GUUUGAUUAGCUCAGUGGUAGAGCAAGCCGAAAUGAACGGUUGAGCGUAGGUUCGAUUCCUACAUCAAACU